Molecule: long non-coding RNA, 1415 nt
Organism: Corvus hawaiiensis (hawaiian crow)
Lineage: Eukaryota; Metazoa; Chordata; Aves; Passeriformes; Corvidae
Exons: 8
Source: RefSeq, a predicted model, not a curated record
AGCACUAUGCAGAUUUAGAUACCAAGAGUGUGUUUUGAGACAUCUACAAAAACCUUGGCUUGAUGAACCACUCAGCCACACUGCUUGAUUUGCCUGCGAAGCCAUUGAAUACAAAAGAGGCUGACAUGAGGGAAAGCCCCAACUUCAACAAUAAAAAUAUGUCAGCAUGAAAAUGGUUAAUGAUUGCAUUUUAAAUCAAAAUGUUCUCCAUGACUGACUGCUUUGCAGCACUAGGGAUGGAGAAAUGAGUCUUCUUCUAAUGACACAGCCCAGUGCACACACAGUCCUCAAGCAUCCCCAGACCAACGGCAUGGCAGCCACUGGGCCUGCAGGUUAAUAUGUGUUGCGCAGCCCCACAAAUUAAAUUGAUGCUUCUCACAUCGGGCCAAAAAUGCAACAGGAGAAGGCUGUGAAAAAUUAGGAAAUCUUCUUGACAUUGGGAAAUCCGACACUUGUCUGCUCUAACAUCUGUAAGUGCCAAAGAAAGAGGGGGAUUUUUUCCCUUAAAGAAAGGCAGAUUUGCCUAUCUCCGAGAGACGAUCGGUUGGGGUUGUUUUCUGAAGAAGCCUGUAGGUAAAGAGGCAUCCAUACGUUCACACAGGAGGAUUCAUAAAGGCAAGGAUGAGAAGAUAAAGGUAUUAUUUUGACAUGAUGACCCCUGGAAAAUGUCUUCGACUCAUCCCAAGUUGUUGCCACUUUUGCUGCCUUUGCCUCUGAGAAGUUGAGUAAUGCUCUGGCCCCUUUGAAAUAUUUUCUCAUCUGCACUGAAUUUCUGCCGACAAACCAAUGGAUAGAUAUGGACCUAAGAACUAUUUAUUAUCAUCGAGUAAGGGGUUUUUUUGACUUAAUCUGAGGCAAUUAGUACCUGAAUAAACACACACUAAGUAAUCUACCUCCUCAAAAGGCUGCUGGAUGGCAGGUUGGAGCUGAGCCGCGCUUAUGGAAGAAGCUGUGUGGCCAAGUGUCCUCGAUACCCUGGGCACGAGCUGGGAAACGCUCCUCCAGAAAUACACACUUGUCACAUGUUAAUUAAACAAGGCACUAUCCCAGCUCCCUCCCAGAUGACCGGGGGGUACCAGAGCAAAGAGCCAAGACCACCAACACCACCAAUGUGAAAGAGGAGAGGGAAAGCUAGGGAUUUAAGGAGGCUUGAUCCCACUCUCUCCACGUGGCUGAUACCAAGGGUAAGUCACCAGCAAUAGCAAAGUCCUCACGAAAAUCUCUUCUGGCCUGUGCAGCAGGAAAGGUGGUUAUGGAAUUGGUGCUGCCAAAGGAAUGGCAUGUAGCGAGGUGCGAAGGCAGGAGCACUGUCUGCCUCGUAAUGGAUAUUGCAGUGAAGUGUGAAGAUAUCCACUUUGUCUUUAAGAACAAAACUUAGGUUAGGAUGGAAGAAAAAAAGACCCCUAAGCCUAAAU